Molecule: ribosomal RNA, 497 nt
Filed under: uncultured bacterium
Lineage: Bacteria
Description: partial 16S ribosomal RNA
Rfam family: Bacterial small subunit ribosomal RNA
Source: RNAcentral
GACGAACGCUGGCGGCGUGCCUAAUACAUGCAAGUUGAGCGCUGAAGGUUGGUACUUGUACCAACUGGAUGAGCAGCGAACGGGUGAGUAACGCGUGGGGAAUCUGCCUUUGAGCGGGGGACAACAUUUGGAAACGAAUGCUAAUACCGCAUAAAAACUUUAAACACAAGUUUUAAGUUUGAAAGAUGCAAUUGCAUCACUCAAAGAUGAUCCCGCGUUGUAUUAGCUAGUUGGUGAGGUAGAGGCUCACCAAGGCGAUGAUACAUAGCCGACCUGAGAGGGUGAUCGGCCACAUUGGGACUGAGACCCGGCCCAAACUCAUACGGGAGGCAGCAGUAGGGAAUCUUCGGCAAUGGACGAAAGUCUGACCGAGCAACGCCGCGUGAGUGAAGAAGGUUUUCGGAUCGUAAAACUCUGUUGGUAGAGAAGAACGUUGGUGAGAGUGGAAAGCUCAUCAAGUGACGGUAACUACCCAGAAAGGGACGGCUAACUACGUG